UCCCCUAGUAACUGCGAGUGAAGCGGGAAGAGCUCAAAUUUAAAAUCUGGCGGUCUCUGGCCGUCCGAGUUGUAAUCUGGAGAAGUGUUUUCCGCGUUGGACCGUGCACAAGUCUCCUGGAACGGAGCGUCAUAGAGGGUGAGAAUCCCGUCCAUGGCACGGACCACCAAUGCUUUUGUGAUACGCUCUCAAAGAGUCGAGUUGUUUGGGAAUGCAGCUCAAAACGGGUGGUAAAUUCCAUCUAAAGCUAAAUAUUGGCGAGAGACCGAUAGCGAACAAGUACCGUGAGGGAAAGAUGAAAAGCACUUUGAAAAGAGAGUUAAACAGUACGUGAAAUUGUUGAAAGGGAAACGCUUGAAGUCAGUCGCGUCCGGCAGAACUCAGCCCUGGCCCUUUUGGGCCUUGGUGUACUUUCUGUCGGACGGGUCAACAUCAGUUUUGACCGGUGGAGAAAGGCAGGGGGAAUGUAGCGCCGUUUCGGCAGCGUGUUAUAGCCUCUUGUCAUAUGCACCGGUUGGGACUGAGGACCGCAGCAUGCCCUUUGUUGGGCCGGGGGUUCGCCCUACGUUAUCGUGCUUAGGAUGUUGGCAUAAUGGCUUUAAGCGACCCGUCUUGAAACACGGACCAAGGAGUCUAACACGCUUGCGAGUGUUCGGGUGUGGAAAACCCUUGCGCGUAAUGAAAGUGAAAGUUGGGAACCUCCGCAAGGGGGUGCACCGACGCCCGGCCCUGACGUUUUUCUGACGGUGCUGCGGUAGAGCAAGUAUGCUGGGACCCGAAAGAUGGUGAACUAUGCCUGAAUAGGGCGAAGCCAGAGGAAACUCUGGUGGAGGCUCGUAGCGAUUCUGACGUGCAAAUCGAUCGUCAAAUUUGGGUAUAGGGGCGAAAGA
This 890-nucleotide ribosomal RNA is filed under the name Phellinus chaquensis. RNAcentral's name for it is "LSU rRNA". It matches the Rfam family "Eukaryotic large subunit ribosomal RNA", at positions 76 to 930 of the family's 3401-position model. Lineage: Eukaryota; Fungi; Basidiomycota; Agaricomycetes; Hymenochaetales; Hymenochaetaceae. The record is from RNAcentral.